CCUACGGGAGGCAGCAGUGAGGAAUAUUGGUCAAUGGACGAGAGUCUGAACCAGCCAAGUAGCGUGAAGGAUGACUGCCCUAUGGGUUGUAAACUUCUUUUAUAUGGGAAUAAAAUGUUCCACGUGUGGGAUUUUGUAUGUACCAUAUGAAUAAGGAUCGGCUAACUCCGUGCCAGCAGCCGCGGUAAUACGGAGGAUACGAGCGUUAUCCGGAUUUAUUGGGUUUAAAGGGAGCGUAGGUGGAUUGUUAAGUCAGUUGUGAAAGUUUGCGGCUCAACCGUAAAAUUGCAGUUGAGACUGGCAGUCUUGAGUACAGUAGAGGUGUGCGGAAUUCGUGGUGUAGCGGUGAAAUGCUUAGAUAUCACGAAGAACUCCGAUUGCGAAGGCAGUUCACUAGACUGCAACUGACACUGAGGCUCGAAAGUGUGGGUAUCAAACAGGAUUAGAUACCCCAGUAGUC
This 460-nucleotide ribosomal RNA is filed under the name uncultured bacterium. Its description in RNAcentral is "partial 16S ribosomal RNA". It matches the Rfam family "Bacterial small subunit ribosomal RNA", at positions 338 to 795 of the family's 1533-position model. The record is from RNAcentral.